Helianthus annuus (common sunflower) is the source of this 287-nucleotide long non-coding RNA. RefSeq lists it as uncharacterized. The transcript has 3 exons. NCBI's taxonomy places the organism in Eukaryota, Viridiplantae, Streptophyta, Magnoliopsida, Asterales, Asteraceae. The record is from RefSeq and is a predicted model, not a curated record.
UACAUCCUUCAUUUGUUCAUCCAUUACUUCAUCAAAAGGGUUUCUUAUCGAGAGUUAGAUCAAGAGAUGGGGCGCCGGCUAAUGGUUCUGCGGUGUUUCUCUUACAAGAUUGUUUCAUCUUCAGAAGAUGAUGAUGUAGAACCCACAGUAGUUCCUACUAAAUGCAAGAAAGGAUCUGCUAUUGUUUUAAGAUAAGAUUUUAUCUUACUAGAGUAAUGGUGUUUCCUGCCUUUUUUGUAUUAAAAGAAGCAUAAAGUUUGUUCUAAAGGAGCUCUUUAUGAACAAAG